GAUCAUCGGCUCAGGACGAACGCUGGCGGCGUGCUUAACACAUGCAAGUCGAACGGUGACCCAGGGCUUGCCCUGGUGAUCAGUGGCGAACGGGUGAGUAACACGUGGGCAACCUGCCCCUGACUUCGGGAUAACUCCUCGAAAGAGGAGCUAAUACCGGAUACGACCACUUCGGACAUCCGAUGGUGGUGGAAAGUUUUUCGGUCAGGGGAUGGGCCCGCGGCCUAUCAGCUAGUUGGUGGGGUAAUGGCCUACCAAGGCGACGACGGGUAGCCGGCCUGAGAGGGCGACCGGCCACACUGGGACUGAGACACUGCCCAGACUCCUACGGGAGGCAGCAGUGGGGAAUAUUGCGCAAUGGCGAAAGCCUGACGCAGCGACGCCGCGUGAGGGAUGAAGGCCUUCGGGUUGUAAACCUCUUUCAGCAGGGACGAAGCGAAAGUGACGGUACCUGCAGAAGAAGCACCGGCUAACUACGUG
This 480-nucleotide ribosomal RNA is filed under the name uncultured bacterium. RNAcentral's name for it is "bacterial SSU rRNA". It matches the Rfam family "Bacterial small subunit ribosomal RNA", at positions 15 to 507 of the family's 1533-position model. The record is from RNAcentral.